AGCAGCCGCGGUAAUUCCAGCUCCAAUAGCGUAUAUUAAAGUUGUUGCAGUUAAAAAGCUCGUAGUUGAAUUUCGGGAUCAAUAUGUUGGUCGUGCCUUGGUACGUACUAAUUUAUUGGUUUCUUCCUUCUGACGAACCAUGAUGUCAUUAAUUUGGUGUCUUGGGGAAUCAGGACUGUUACUUUGAAAAAAUUAGAGUGUUUAAAGCAGGCUCACGCUUGAAUACAUUAGCAUGGAAUAAUGAAAUAGGACGUUUGAUUCUAUUUUGUUGGUUUCUAGGAUCGACGUAAUGAUUAAUAGGGAUAGUUGGGGCAUUAGUAUUCAAUUGUCAGAGGUGAAAUUCUUGGAUUUAUUGAAGACUAACUACUGCGAAAGCAUUUGCCAAGGAUGUUUUCAUUAAUCAAGAACGAAGUUAGGGGAUCGAAGACGAUCAGAUACCGUCGUAGUCUUAACCAUAAACUAUGCCGACUAGGGAUCGGAUGAUGUAAUUUUUAAUGACUCAUUCGGCGCCUUACGGGAA
RNAcentral lists this ribosomal RNA (520 nucleotides) under uncultured Glomus. RNAcentral describes it as "SSU rRNA". It matches the Rfam family "Eukaryotic small subunit ribosomal RNA", at positions 569 to 1096 of the family's 1831-position model. The record is from RNAcentral. Lineage: Eukaryota; Fungi; Glomeromycota; Glomeromycetes; Glomerales; Glomeraceae.